Long non-coding RNA from Gallus gallus (chicken), 333 nucleotides. The record is from Ensembl. NCBI's taxonomy places the organism in Eukaryota, Metazoa, Chordata, Aves, Galliformes, Phasianidae.
CUAACUUUCUCUUUGUAGGCUAUUUCUGCAUGUGUGUUCCUCUUGUUUGUAGCUGACAUGUUGCAUUUGCUGUGCUCAGAAGCUCAAAACUAUUCCAAAAUGCAAAGAAGAUGAUGAUAUUACCUCUGUUUUAAAUGUGCUUUUAGGUACUCCAGAAGGAGUUACCUGUAAACAUCUCUCCAAGUUCUCAAAAUUUAUCAGCUCACCAUGGAGGAAGAAAAGUUAACGCUCAUGGUUUUUAAGUCAACUGGAAGAAGAUUGCCAGGGGAAGGGGAACGGAGUGCUGCUUCAUGACUUCUGAGCAUUGGGAACCAGCAGUACAGAACAUUCAGG